AGGGUUUGAUUAUGGCUCAGGAUGAACGCUAGCGACAGGCUUAACACAUGCAAGUCGAGGGGCAGCGCGGGGGUGGCAACACUCCCGGCGGCGACCGGCGCACGGGUGAGUAACACGUAUGCAACCUGCCCUCCACAGGGGGAUAAUCGGGAGAAAUCCCGUCUAAUACCGCAUGACGCCGCAGACGGGCAUCCGUCGGCGGCCAAAGGAGCGAUCCGGUGGAGGCUGGGCAUGCGCCGCAUUAGCCAGUUGGCGGGGUAACGGCCCACCAAGGCGACGAUGCGUAGGGGUUCUGAGAGGAAGGUCCCCCACACUGGUACUGAGACACGGACCAG
This 335-nucleotide ribosomal RNA is filed under the name uncultured bacterium. Its description in RNAcentral is "bacterial SSU rRNA". It matches the Rfam family "Bacterial small subunit ribosomal RNA", at positions 8 to 334 of the family's 1533-position model. The record is from RNAcentral.